Molecule: microRNA precursor, 187 nt
Organism: Oryza rufipogon (brownbeard rice)
Lineage: Eukaryota; Viridiplantae; Streptophyta; Magnoliopsida; Poales; Poaceae
Rfam family: MIR812 microRNA precursor family
Source: Rfam
AAUAAGUGCAGUUUUACACUGUUCAUGUCCAACGAUCGCCUUUUUUUUAUUAGUAUUUUUAUUGUUAUUCGAUAAUAAAACAUGAAUAGUAUUUUAUAUGUGACUAAUAUUUUAAUUUUUUUCAUAAAUUUUUUAAAUAAAACAAAAGGUCGAACGUUAAACACGGAUACCCACGACUGCACUUAUU